Long non-coding RNA from Sapajus apella (tufted capuchin), 114 nucleotides. RefSeq lists it as uncharacterized. The transcript has 3 exons. The record is from RefSeq and is a predicted model, not a curated record. Lineage: Eukaryota; Metazoa; Chordata; Mammalia; Primates; Cebidae.
GAGGCAAGUUUGCCCUAAGGGGUUCCCAGCCUGACAUUUCCCUUUAGUUUAGUGAUUUGGGGACCCCAAGAUUUAUUUUCCUUUCACAACUAUUUAUCCCAGCUACUCGGGAGG